AAUACCCAAUCCUGACACAGGGAGGUAGUGACAAGAAAUAACAAUACAGGGCUAAUGUCUUGUAAUUGGAAUGAUGGUGACCCAAACCCUCACCAGAGUAGCAAUUGGAGGGCAAGUCUGGUGCCAGCAGCCGCGGUAAUUCCAGCUCCAAUAGCGUAUAUUAAACUUGUUGAAGUUAAAAAGCUCGUAGUUGAAUUUUAGCGUGUUCGAGUUUGCCAUUCGUUUGGCUCUUUCGAGUUCGCUUUUGGGUUUUCCCUUUUUACUUUGAGAAAAUUAGAGUGUUUCAAGCAGACUUUUGUCUUGAAUACUUCAGCAUGGAAUAAUAGAGUAGGACUUUGGUUCUAUUUUGUUGGUUAUUGAACCUUAGUAAUGGUUAAUAGGAACGGUUGGGGGCAUUCGUAUUUAA
This 406-nucleotide ribosomal RNA is filed under the name Babesia vogeli. Its description in RNAcentral is "SSU rRNA". It matches the Rfam family "Eukaryotic small subunit ribosomal RNA", at positions 439 to 901 of the family's 1831-position model. Lineage: Eukaryota; Apicomplexa; Aconoidasida; Piroplasmida; Babesiidae. The record is from RNAcentral.